AUUGAACGCUGGCGGCAUGCUUUACACAUGCAAGUCGAACGGCAGCGCGGGCUUCGGCCUGGCGGCGAGUGGCGAACGGGUGUGUAAUACAUCGGAACGUGCCCAGUAGUGGGGGAUAGCUCGGCGAAAGCCGGAUUAAUACCGCAUACGACCUGAGGGUGAAAGCGGGGGAUCUUCGGACCUCGCGCUAUUGGAGCGGCCGAUGGCAGAUUAGCUAGUUGGUGGGGUAAAGGCCUACCAAGGCGACGAUCUGUAGCUGGUCUGAGAGGACGACCAGCCACACUGGGACUGAGACACGGCCCAGACUCCUACGGGAGGCAGCAGUGGGGAAUUUUGGACAAAGGGCGAAAGCCUGAUCCAGCAAUGCCGCGUGUGUGAUGAAGGCCUUCGGGUUGUAAAGCACUUUUGGCGGGAACGAAAAGGACUGUGCCAAUACCACGGUUCGAUGACGGUACCCGCAGAAUAAGCACCGGCUAACUACGUG
This 484-nucleotide ribosomal RNA is filed under the name uncultured bacterium. Its description in RNAcentral is "partial 16S ribosomal RNA". It matches the Rfam family "Bacterial small subunit ribosomal RNA", at positions 29 to 507 of the family's 1533-position model. The record is from RNAcentral.